GAGUUUGAUCCUGGCUCAGGACGAACGCUGGCGGCGCGCCUAACACAUGCAAGUCGAACGAGAGAGAGGAAGCUUGCUUCCUCAAUCGAGUGGCGAACGGGUGAGUAACGCGUGAGGAACCUGCCUCAAAGAGGGGGACAACAGUUGGAAACGACUGCUAAUACCGCAUAAGCCCACAGCUCGGCAUCGAGCAGAGGGAAAAGGAGCAAUCCGCUUUGAGAUGGCCUCGCGUCCGAUUAGCUAGUUGGUGAGGUAACGGCCCACCAAGGCGACGAUCGGUAGCCGGACUGAGAGGUUGAACGGCCACAUUGGGACUGAGACACGGCCCAGACUCCUACGGGAGGCAGCAGUGGGGAAUAUUGCACAAUGGGGGAAACCCUGAUGCAGCGACGCCGCGUGAGUGAGGAAGUAUUUCGGUAUGUAAAGCUCUAUCAGCAGGGAAGAUAAUGACGGUACCUGACUAAGAAGCUCCGGCUAAAUACGUGCCAGCCGCCGCGGUAAUAC
RNAcentral lists this ribosomal RNA (504 nucleotides) under uncultured bacterium. Its description in RNAcentral is "bacterial SSU rRNA". It matches the Rfam family "Bacterial small subunit ribosomal RNA", at positions 9 to 526 of the family's 1533-position model. The record is from RNAcentral.